UGACAGCCAGGAUAACCAAUGGAGCUCCUGAUGUGGGGAGGCAGCAAGGCUCUGAAGGUCUGUUGCUGGAAGUAAUGGUGGAAGAGGAAUUUUGGUGCUCUGCUUGUGAACUUUCUAGAAGUUUCUGAUUGCCUGGAAACCGGAUGUAUGUGCGGUGAUUGCAAUGGCUACUUGAAUGAGCACCCUCAUAUUUUCUGCUUUUGUGUAUCUCCCCACUCUGCGCGUAACAAGCUGUUUCUAGAGUUGGAUGCCCGGCUCCCUGGUAAGGCAGGCUCAUUGCUGUGGAGUGAUAGAUUUGUGCCUUCGACUUUCAGGAACAGAGGAGUGGAGGAUUCCCGGCCCCAGCGUGCUCGGAGGCAGGCGGCCAGAAGGCGAGAAGCUCAGCCCCGCGCCUGAGUGGCACCGGGACCGGGGAGGAGCCGACGACUCAGCCGGCUUGCCUUGCCUAGCCAGCGAGUUCAUUCCGCCGCGCUCCUCCUGAGCGGCUGGGGAGAGAGACGGCGAGGGGGAGGCGCGGGCAGGGAGCCUCGGCUGACAAAGGGCUGCGGACGGCUCCAAGCAAAACGGCUCGGACGGAGAAGACGGGGAGGAGGAGGCAGCCCGCGCUGCCUUCCCCGGGCGGGGCUUUUUCUCGGAGACUCGCGCAGUCCGUGGAGGAGCGCGAGCAGCUGAGGCUGAGGCUGCAGGGAGAGAGCUCCGCGAGGACGUCCGCCCAGAUGACGGCGCGGUGAAGAAGUGCGCGGAUUUUGUGCGCUGCUGCCCGGGCCGGCGGUUUUCAGCUGUGCUCGGUCGGGAGGACUCCGCCGGGGUUUGUUCCCUCUGACGCACCUCGGGCACCUUGUCUUGGCACUGGCACGGCACGGUGUGGCAGCUGCCUUCGCUGCCUGCCGGGGUUGGUUGGUUUGGUUAGAGGCAGCGAUAGGCUGGGUGUGAUCUGGACAACGAGACCUGUGUGACGACCUGACUGCUGUGAAAUGCUCGCCGGAGCGGCACCCGGACGUCCACUUGCUGCACCUUGAGCGGGAAACACGCAGAGGCCGAGGCGCCGUGCUGACUUGCCGCCUGCGAAUCUCUUCCCCGUAACAAGGUCCGUGCCAGGAAAGUGCAAAGAGUGUGAAUUGACACUUCAGGAUUAUCCUCGAUAGGAAGUUUCUCAGGCUGCGCUUUGAACGCCUCGGGCUGCGGAGAAAACNGCUGGUGAGGCUUCCCAAGGCUUCUGAUUGAGCUUCUCCGCUCCUGAGCCAAUUUAAGUAGGAGACAGGAAUCUCCCUCAGGCAGCAAAGAGACCCUUUGACUGCCCUUCNCCAAGCCCCGUUCCAGCUGGUAAGGAUCGUUUCUCCUCUCACAACUUGCCUUUUGGAGAACGAAGGGAAAGACGGUGAGGUUCCAGCCGGCA
RNAcentral lists this long non-coding RNA (1396 nucleotides) under Salvator merianae (Argentine black and white tegu). RNAcentral's name for it is "lncRNA (ENSSMRG00000009100.1)". Lineage: Eukaryota; Metazoa; Chordata; Lepidosauria; Squamata; Teiidae. The record is from RNAcentral.